Molecule: ribosomal RNA, 492 nt
Filed under: uncultured bacterium
Lineage: Bacteria
Description: partial 16S ribosomal RNA
Rfam family: Bacterial small subunit ribosomal RNA
Source: RNAcentral
AGUGAACGCUGGCGGUAGGCCUAACACAUGCAAGUCGAACGGCAGCACAGUAAGAGCUUGCUCUUACGGGUGGCGAGUGGCGGACGGGUGAGGAAUACAUCGGAAUCUACUUUUUCGUGGGGGAUAACGUAGGAAAACUUACGCUAAUACCGCAUACGACCUACGGGUGAAAGCAGGGGAUCUUCGGACCUUGCGCGAUUGAAUGAGCCGAUGUCGGAUUAGCUAGUUGGCGGGGUAACGGCCCACCAAGGCGACGAUCCGUAGCUGGUCUGAGAGGAUGAACAGCCACACUGGAACUGAGACACGGUCCAGACUCCUACAGGGAGCAGCGGUGGGGAAUAUUGGACGAGGGGCGAAAGCCUGAUCCAGCCAUACCGCGUGAGUGAAGAAGGCCUUCGGGUGGUAAAGCCCUUUUGUUGGGAGAGAAAAGCAGCAGGUUAAUACCCCGCUGUUCUGACGGUACCCAAAGAAUAAGCAACGGCUAACUUCGUG